UCCCUUCCCCCACACAAAUUCAGUCUGUUUCGGAAUCUAAUAAUUGUGUUACCAAAUAUUCUUAUCUUCAUUUUAAUUGCGAGCCAACAAAACAUUUGAAAAUUGAUGCCUUCAAUUUUGAAAUCUAUGGAGCUUAGUCUUGGGUGUUUAGUUUAAAGUGCUUGGUCUAGCCUACUUCACACAAGAAGCAUCGAAGUUUGUACACAUUUGAGAAAUCAGUUUGUCUCUUUAGCAAGUGUCUCAGAGUUUGCCUUACACUUAAGCAAGCCAUAGCCAUUGCCCUUUUAACAUCUGAUAUCUUAUAUUAAAAAUCAGAGAUUAUUGAAUACUUUGUUAUAUUGUUUUUGUUGUAUUUUUUUUCCUCCACUUUUUUUAGUACAAGAAAACUAAAUUAGGCUGAAUCAUAUUUCUUUUGUAGGUCCGCAAUAAGUUGACUAUCAAUUUCCAUUCUACAAAGCAUUUCUAAUCAGUUUCACUAACCAUCUAGGAGGACAAAGCAGGCAAGACAAACUCUGAAAGCCAGAUACGAUAUUGCAGAUUGCAUUUUCUUUUCAUUUGAUCUGGUAGAUAAGCUUGCUAGAAACCCGUCCUAGGUAGGGAAUCCUUGCACAACCUCGCUUGCUGGCUGUACAUAAUCUUUGAAUUUGGACAAUGACAGCUCUAGCUAUGGCCAUCAACAGAAGCAAACUCAUCACUCAAAGACUAGUUUCUCUUUAAUCUAUUGCUGGAUUUUACUUGUUCUACAUUUCUAAUAUUUAUAUUACGUGUGCAAGUCAUCCUCAGGUGUAGGGCUCUUGAUUGUAUUGUGAAUUCCAUUCUGGGUUCUUUGGCAACUUGUAAUUUAUUAAACAGAAGUCUAUAGAAAAGGACUAGUGCAUUUGCUUUC
This is a long non-coding RNA of Camellia sinensis, 886 nucleotides long. RefSeq lists it as uncharacterized. NCBI's taxonomy places the organism in Eukaryota, Viridiplantae, Streptophyta, Magnoliopsida, Ericales, Theaceae. The record is from RefSeq and is a predicted model, not a curated record.